AUACGGAGGGUCCAAGCGUUAUCCGGAUUCAUUGGGUUUAAAGGGUCCGCAGGCGGGAAAAUAAGUCAGUGGUGUAAGCCUACAGCUCAACUGUAGAACUGCCAUUGAUACUGUUUUUCUUGAGUAUAGAUGAAGUGGGCGGAAUAUAUCAUGUAGCGGUGAAAUGCAUAGAUAUGAUAUAGAACACCGAUUGCGAAGGCAGCUCACUAAACUAUUACUGACGCUCAGGGACGAAAGCGUGGGGAGCGAACAGGAGUAGAAACCCUAGUAGUCC
This 274-nucleotide ribosomal RNA is filed under the name uncultured bacterium. RNAcentral's name for it is "partial 16S ribosomal RNA". It matches the Rfam family "Bacterial small subunit ribosomal RNA", at positions 523 to 796 of the family's 1533-position model. The record is from RNAcentral.